This 418-nucleotide ribosomal RNA is filed under the name bacterium enrichment culture clone ALO1_GLFRUDD03FW4HJ. RNAcentral describes it as "bacterial SSU rRNA". It matches the Rfam family "Bacterial small subunit ribosomal RNA", at positions 9 to 429 of the family's 1533-position model. The record is from RNAcentral.
GAGUUUGAUCUUGGCUCAGAUUGAACGCUGGCGGCAUGCCUUACACAUGCAAGUCGAACGGCAGCACGGGAGCUUGCUCCUGGUGGCGAGUGGCGAACGGGUGAGUAAUGCAUCGGAACGUAUCCUGGAGUGGGGGAUAACGUAGCGAAAGUUACGCUAAUACUGCAUAUUCUGUGAGCAGGAAAGCGGGGGACCUUCGGGCCUCGCGCUCUUGGAGCGGCCGAUGUCGGAUUAGCUAGUUGGUGAGGUAAAGGCUCACCAAGGCGACGAUCCGUAGCAGGUCUGAGAGGAUGAUCUGCCACACUGGAACUGAGACACGGUCCAGACUCCUACGGGAGGCAGCAGUGGGGAAUUUUGGACAAUGGGGGCAACCCUGAUCCAGCCAUGCCGCGUGAGUGAAGAAGGCCUCGGUUGUAAG